Long non-coding RNA from Dromaius novaehollandiae (emu), 269 nucleotides. RefSeq lists it as uncharacterized. The transcript is spliced from 3 exons. NCBI's taxonomy places the organism in Eukaryota, Metazoa, Chordata, Aves, Casuariiformes, Dromaiidae. The record is from RefSeq and is a predicted model, not a curated record.
CGACAGGAAGCCUUCCACGGAUUACAGCUGGAUUUUCACUCUGUUUCUCCAAAGGCCAUGGUGGUGGUACCUUGGAGGCCUUACAAGAAAUUUAUUCAGUACAGAAGAUAAUGGAUCUUUCCAGAGCAGUCUCAACAGGACCUGGGCACAUUCAUUAAUAGCAGCCCUAGCGAAAUUGGAGUCCUUUAUCCGGGGAUGUGCAGCUGUAACUCACAAGAAAGCACGGAUACUUCUCCAUUUACGAUUCUGAAGACUUAAGAGCCUCAUCU